UGUAAUUUUGGGGGGAGUGGGUUGUUCAACUCCACGCCUCCAGACUUGAGCUCCCCAGUAGACCCAAGUUACUGGCAGUUACUCUCUGAUUCAAAGGGCUAACUGGUCGUCCGAGCUGCAAUCCCAGAAAGAUGCGCCCGCUCUAUCCCUACUCCCGGACUCCACCAAUUGCUCACAGGCGUGCAAUUCCCAGGGACCAAUUAGAAGGGUGGGCAGUGCGUUCGCCUUUUAUAGAGCAGUGACCUAAGGAGCAGCUCAGACCAUGUCCAGUCGGCCCAUUAUGCGGACAGGACCAAACAAGAAGCAGGCUCAAUCAAUGAUCCUCCCUGCGGCUUCCGAUUCAGCAGCCGCAGAGCCGGCGCCCGGGGAUGGCGAGCCCAGCGCUCCUCCCCUCCUCCCGCUGACUCCCCCACCUCCUCCACGCCCUCCCCUUCGCGCGCCCGCCCUGCAGCGCCUGCCUGGAGCAUGCUGUCCCUGGGCACGGAAUCUGGGGUCUCCGUGCACCCCCAGCCGGGGCCCCAGCCGCCCACCUCCCCCUGAUCCCUGGGCCGCGCGACUUCAAAUUUAGCUUCCUCGCCUCCCAGACCUGUCCCUGUCACUGAGCAUGCCCAGUCCUGCCCGCCACCGCCACCGCCGAGUUUCAACAUGGGGAAUGAAGUUCUCUGGGUUUGUAAAGAAGAGAUGGGCGGAUUGGGCUUUGUAUGGCGAGCGAGCUAAAAGGGUACUGGGUGAGGUCGACGCGAGGGAUUCAGCAGCUUCAGGAGGAAUGUGGGAGGAAGCCAAAUAUUUGCAGAGGUUUCAGGUUUGCUAAUUCUGUCCCCAGUGGGCUAGAUACCUUUGCAAGGUCACUUAUGUUGCCACUACCCAACCCCCUGCCGCGCGUGAGUGUAUGUGUGUGUGUGUGUGUGUGUGUGCGCGCGCGCGCGCGAGCGCCUGCGUUAGGUGACCAAACUACUCAAAGGCCUGAGGAAAGAGAACGAUUAUUUAUAGAAAGGUAGGCAGACUUGGGGAGGAGUGAAAUUUCUUUGCUGGCAUACACAGACCAAUACCAUGUGGUCUCAUGGAGUUAGUUGUCUAGCAAGGAGGAAAACUAGGAAUACAGUCAGUGUAAGGACAGUGAAGGACAAAACUGGGUAGGAUUAACUGGUGCUGGAAGAGACCAAGAAAACAGAAGCAAUCCCAAGCUAUAAAAAGCGCUUUCCUCACCCAGAAAGGACCUGAAGAGACAAUGUCAUGUUAUUUAUAGAAUUAGGAGUUGUCUCUUGUUUUAAGAAGGUAAGGCACCAUUAAAGGGUCAUCAACACCAUGAGUUUUGGAGUCAGCCCUGGGUUCCAGUUCCAACUCAACCACUGAGCAAACCCAGAGAGACUCAUUGCUCAACACACCUGACAACAGGAAACUCAAGGGGGAAUGCUCAGUAGGCCAGACAAAUUUGGAUGGAGAGGAUCUUAUAAAAAUUAUGUAAUUCGAGGCCUUUGCUUUUGUAUUUGUAAUGUGGGACAUUUGUGGGGAGAUUUAUCUAAAAGUGCCUGGUUCAAUCUUGAAGCACAAUAAAUGCUCCAAAAACUGUUACAUAAAAAUUACAGGAGGUCAUUGUUGUAAAUUAACCUGAUGCAUAGACCAGGCUGAAUAUCAAAACUGUGUUAUUCAUGUUAAAGUUCCAGGUCACCAAGCUAGAGCUAAGCUGUUUAUCUGUCCUUCCUAGGAAUCUGGAUUAGAGAUAACAGUCAUAGGCCCAGGGUGUUUCUUUGUUGUUGUUGUUAUUGUUUUGUUUUGCAAUACUGGGGAUUGAACCCAAGACCUGGCACAUGCGAAGGAAGUGUUCUGCCACUGAGCUCCAUCCUCAGCCCAACAAGCCAGUUUUAAUUGGCAGUAAUGAAGUUCCCUCUGCCUUAACCCUUAUGCCAAAUAAGUAACCUCAUGUUGAUUUAUUAGUCAUUAUUAUAGUUUUUCUCUCUGUCCUCCUCUUAUAAGAAAAAUAACUGAAAGGAGCUAUUUACUUUAGUUUUUGUUUCUACUUUCUUCAAGCCCUCCUCUAUAGAACCAACUUCCUUUGCCCUGCCUGUUGGAACACUAUUCUACUUUAUGGAAUGAAGUGUUGCCCAAUUCUGGAAUUAAAAAUAAAUCAUCAAAUUGUUAUGGUUUUGUCCUUUGACAAUUUUUACCUUUGUUUUGCUUAUUUCAGCAAUUCACACUUCCUUUCAAGUGAGGGGAACAAAUUAUGCUCACAGCAAUAUUCAUUGUGUGUAAUAUUCUUUGUCAUUUGUACUUAAUCUACAGAGGGCAGUUCCUUCCAGCAGACCUAGAAUUGGAGAGUUACAACCAUUGGGAUACUACAGUGCUCUGAUCCAUCCUCUUGGUUUUUGCUUUCUUGUUUUUGCUUUCAAAUAAAAAAAAUCUCAACUCUC
This is a non-coding RNA of Ictidomys tridecemlineatus (thirteen-lined ground squirrel), 2408 nucleotides long. The record is from RefSeq and is a predicted model, not a curated record. NCBI's taxonomy places the organism in Eukaryota, Metazoa, Chordata, Mammalia, Rodentia, Sciuridae.